Molecule: ribosomal RNA, 210 nt
Filed under: uncultured bacterium
Lineage: Bacteria
Description: partial 16S ribosomal RNA
Rfam family: Bacterial small subunit ribosomal RNA
Source: RNAcentral
CGUUCUCAGUUCGGAUCGGAGUCUGCAACCCGACUCCGUGAAGCUGGAUUCGCUAGUAAUCGCGCAUCAGCCAUGGCGCGGUGAAUACGUUCCCGGGCCUUGUACACACCGCCCGUCAAGCCAUGGAAGCCGGGGGCGCUUGAAGUGCGUUGCCGCAAGGCGCGCCCUAGAGCGAAACCGGUGACUGGGGCUAAGUCGUAACAAGGUAUC